RNAcentral lists this long non-coding RNA (199 nucleotides) under Lathyrus oleraceus (garden pea). Its description in RNAcentral is "Pisum sativum (pea) long non-coding RNA (PSAT_LNC029500)". Lineage: Eukaryota; Viridiplantae; Streptophyta; Magnoliopsida; Fabales; Fabaceae. The record is from RNAcentral.
CAUAAAAAAAAGUUUUAAAAAAAGUAAUUAACAAAUAUCUACAUAAUAUAUUACCUCUCAGUUGGUACAUGUAAUCGAGAUUAAUAGAAAUAAAAAAUAAUAAAAUAAUAAAAAUAUUAACAAAGAAAAAAAGGUAGCUGAAAUGCGUCAAGUGAGAAAUAAUAAAUAAAUCAUAGAAAAUAAAAAUAACAUAAAAUAU